UAUAUAUUUAAAUUUAAAAUUUUAAUUAUAAAAUUUAAAAAUUUAAAUUCAAAUAUAAGGGGCACUAUCAUUCUUUUCUCUAUUUAUAACUAUCUAUUAUUAUUCUUAUUCCAUCUUUUCUAUCCAAACGCUAUUUUUCUUAUUAUCAGGAACAACUUAAUUUUCAUCCAAACGUAAAAUUUGUCUAUUUCAGGCAUAAUCCUGAACUUAUAUCUAUCAUUAAAAUAACUAGUUCUUACUUAAUUCCGAACGAAACGAAGCCAUAUAUAUAU
Molecule: long non-coding RNA, 272 nt
Filed under: Ananas comosus (pineapple)
Lineage: Eukaryota; Viridiplantae; Streptophyta; Magnoliopsida; Poales; Bromeliaceae
Description: long non-coding RNA (ACOM_LNC040640)
Source: RNAcentral